ACAGUGGAAGAUCCACUAACGAAUCAGAAGAAGUAACAGAUGGCGAUGGCUGAUGGGUGGCGGGUGCAGGGAGUUGAGGCGGAGGAUUCACGAAAUCAUCGAAGCUUCCCCCUUGCAGCACAAGGGGCAUCUCCUUACUUGUCGUCAUAACAGUUUUGUUUCGUUGUGCGAGAAAUUGUGGAUUAGGACAAGGUUUGGACCCAACUUUGGCGGUCCGGAAUUCUUCGAUUCAGCUGGACUGGAAGGUCGAACAGGAUUGGCACAUUGAAGUGGCAGUUGAAGCAAGAGCAGACGGGGACUCGAUUGUGCAAUGUGUGCACAAUUCGAUUGUGCAACAAACGACUCCUAGUAGCAAAAUUUCGAACUGCAUGAAAAUUUUUAUUCCUCGAACGUCGUCUGCUCGAAACUGAACGUGAUUACGUGAGGCCGUUACGUGAAAAAGUGAGUUCCGCCAGUUUUUUUUUUAUAUAAUAAUAUGAUAAGGGAUGGUCGUAGUACUUUUUCUUAAUUGCUAUUCGUGUUGACAAUUGCCGAUAUAGUCUAUCUUUAAUACAGCACUGAGUGAAACUGUAUCAAUACUCUUUGCAGUGUACCUGAACGUUAGAAAAGGUAAUUCUAGCUUGGAUUCUCUACGACAAGGUUACUUAAAAUAAAUAUGUAUGCAUUUGCAGGUAUACUAGCCCAUAAUUUUCACUAGGCCCAAUUAUUUGAUCACAUGUUCUUGUAACAGCUGUACAUUACGCUAAAAUAUCUCUUGCCACCUGUACAUGCUAUAGUGGUGUACAGCUUUUUCAUCCCUUGCAGAUUACACUUAAAGUGAAGGUAAUUAUGCCACAAAUUACCUUAAAGAAGGCAAUAGAUUUUGAUGACCAGCUGAAACCAUUUGUUUACAGAUUGUACCCAAUUCACUAGUU
This 914-nucleotide unclassified non-coding RNA is filed under the name Daphnia pulicaria. RNAcentral describes it as "uncharacterized LOC124350822, transcript variant X4". Lineage: Eukaryota; Metazoa; Arthropoda; Branchiopoda; Diplostraca; Daphniidae. The record is from RNAcentral.